RNAcentral lists this ribosomal RNA (497 nucleotides) under uncultured bacterium. Its description in RNAcentral is "partial 16S ribosomal RNA". It matches the Rfam family "Bacterial small subunit ribosomal RNA", at positions 38 to 507 of the family's 1533-position model. The record is from RNAcentral.
GGGGGGGGGGGGGGGGGGGGGGAGGGGGGGCGGGGGGGGGGGGGGGGGGGGGGGGUGGCUGGUCGGGCGGUGGCGGCGGGCGGGGGAGUGAGACGUGGGUAGCCUACCUAUAAGACUGGGGGAACUUCGGGAAACCGGAGCUAAUCCCGGAGAAUAUAUUGAACCGCAUGGGUCACUGGUGACAGACGGUUUUGCUGGCACUUAUAGAUGGAUCCGCGCCGCAUUAGCUAGUUGGUAAGGUAACGGCUUACCAAGGCGACGAUGCGUAGCCGACCUGAGAGGGUGAUCGGCCACACUGGAACUGAGACACGGUCCAGACUCCUACGGGAGGCAGCAGUAGGGAAUCUUCCGCAAUGGGCGAAAGCCUGACGGAGCAACGCCGCGUGAGUGAUGAAGGUCUUCGGAUCGUAAAACUCUGUUAUUAGGGAAGAUCAAAUGUGUAAGUAACUAUGCACGUCUUGACGGUACCUAAUCAGAAAGCCACGGCUAACUACGUG